RNAcentral lists this ribosomal RNA (377 nucleotides) under Oxalobacteraceae sp. CFBP 8755. RNAcentral describes it as "partial 23S ribosomal RNA". It matches the Rfam family "Bacterial large subunit ribosomal RNA", at positions 1482 to 1846 of the family's 2925-position model. The record is from RNAcentral. Lineage: Bacteria; Pseudomonadati; Pseudomonadota; Betaproteobacteria; Burkholderiales; Oxalobacteraceae.
GAAGGUUGUCUGGCUGUUGGAAUAGCCAGUUUUUGACUCAUAGAAGGUACUUAGGCAAAUCCGGGUACGUAAUUCAAGGGGUCGAGACGAGGAACUUAGGUUCUGAAGCAAUCGGAAGUGGUUCCAAGAAAAGCCUCUAAGCUUCAGUCAUACGAGACCGUACCGCAAACCGACACAGGUGGGCGAGAUGAGUAUUCUAAGGCGCUUGAGAGAACUCGGGAGAAGGAACUCGGCAAAUUGGUACCGUAACUUCGGGAUAAGGUACGCCCUAGUAGUUUGAUUGGUUUACUCCAUGAGGAUGAACGGGUUGCAAUAAAAUGGUGGCUGCGACUGUUUAAUAAAAACACAGCACUCUGCAAACACGAAAGUGGACGUAU